GAUGAACGCUGGCGGCGUGCUUAACACAUGCAAGUCGAACGGAGUUAUGGAGAGAGAGUGAGGUGCUUGCACCAAGUGAUCAUUUCAUAACUUAGUGGCGGACGGGUGAGUAACGCGUGGGUAACCUGCCAUAUACAGGGGGAUAACACUUAGAAAUAGGUGCUAAAACCGCAUAAGCGCACAGCUUCGCAUGAAGCAGUGUGAAAAACUCCGGUGGUAUAUGAUGGACCCGCGUCUGAUUAGCCAGUUGGCAGGGUAACGGCCUACCAAAGCGACGAUCAGUAGCCGGCCUGAGAGGGUGAACGGCCACAUUGGGACUGAGACACGGCCCAAAACUCCCUAACGGGGAGGCAGCAGUGGGGAAUAUUGCACAAUGGGGGAAACCCUGAUGCAGCGACGCCGCGUGAGUGAAGAAGUAUUUCGGUAUGUAAAGCUCUAUCAGCAGGGAAGAAAAUGACGGUACCUGAGUAAGAAGCCCCCGGNU
Molecule: ribosomal RNA, 484 nt
Filed under: uncultured bacterium
Lineage: Bacteria
Description: bacterial SSU rRNA
Rfam family: Bacterial small subunit ribosomal RNA
Source: RNAcentral